UACGAAGGUCCCGAGCGUUGUUCGGAAUCACUGGGCGUAAAGGGAGCGUAGGCGGCGCGGUAAGUCAGAUGUGAAAUCCCGGGGCUCAACCCCGGAACUGCAUCCGAUACUGCCGUGCUAGAGUAAUGGAGGGGUAGCUGGAAUUCUCGGUGUAGCAGUGAAAUGCGUAGAUAUCAAGAGGAACACUCGUGGCGAAAGCGAGCUACUGGACAUUUACUGACGCUGAGACGCGAAAGCGUGGGGAGCAAACAGG
This 253-nucleotide ribosomal RNA is filed under the name uncultured bacterium. RNAcentral's name for it is "partial 16S ribosomal RNA". It matches the Rfam family "Bacterial small subunit ribosomal RNA", at positions 524 to 776 of the family's 1533-position model. The record is from RNAcentral.